RNAcentral lists this transfer RNA (76 nucleotides) under Gammaproteobacteria bacterium. RNAcentral's name for it is "tRNA-Phe". It matches the Rfam family "tRNA". From Rfam's summary of the family: Transfer RNA (tRNA) molecules are approximately 80 nucleotides in length. The record is from RNAcentral. Lineage: Bacteria; Pseudomonadati; Pseudomonadota; Gammaproteobacteria. RNAcentral also lists the same sequence under 4 other names.
GGCCAGAUAGCUCAGUUGGUAGAGCAGAGGACUGAAAAUCCUCGUGUCGGCAGUUCGAUUCUGCCUCUGGCCACCA